CCUACGGGUGGCAGCAGUGAGGAAUAUUGGUCAAUGGACGAGAGUCUGAACCAGCCAAGUCGCGUGAAGGAUGACUGCCCUAUGGGUUGUAAACUUCUUUUAUAAAGGAAUAAAACGAGGCAGUUGUGCCUUUUUGCAUGUACUUUAUGAAUAAGGAUCGGCUAACUCGGUGCCAGCAGCCGCGGUAAUACGGAGGAUCCGAGCGUUAUCCGGAUUUAUUGGGUUUAAAGGGAGCGUAGAUGGGUUGUUAAGUCAGUUGUGAAAGUUUGCGGCUCAACCGUAAAAUUGCAAUUGAUACUGGCAGUCUUGAGUACAGGUGAGGUAGGCGGAAUUCGUGGUGUAGCGGUGAAAUGCUUAGAUAUCACGAAGAACCCCGAUUGCGAAGGCAGCUUACUAAACUGUGACUGACAUUGAUGCUCGAAAGCGUGGGUAGCAAACAGGAUUAGAUACCCCAGUAGUC
This 460-nucleotide ribosomal RNA is filed under the name uncultured bacterium. RNAcentral's name for it is "partial 16S ribosomal RNA". It matches the Rfam family "Bacterial small subunit ribosomal RNA", at positions 338 to 795 of the family's 1533-position model. The record is from RNAcentral.